RNAcentral lists this ribosomal RNA (513 nucleotides) under uncultured bacterium. RNAcentral describes it as "partial 16S ribosomal RNA". It matches the Rfam family "Bacterial small subunit ribosomal RNA", at positions 28 to 507 of the family's 1533-position model. The record is from RNAcentral.
GACGAACGCUGGCGGCGUGCUUAACACAUGCAAGUCGAACGAGAGCGUAGAGAAAGCUUGCUUUUUCUACAAUCUAGUGGCAAACGGGUGAGUAACGCGUAAACAACCUUCUUUACGGAUGGGGACAACAGCUGGAAACGGCUGCUAAUACCCAAUACGUCCCGAAAGUCGCAUGACUAUUGGAAGAAAGUAUGGCCUCUAUGUAUAAGCUAUCGCCGUUGGAGGGGUUUGAGUCUGAUUAGCUAGGUGGAGGGGGAACGGCCCACCAAGGCGAAGAUCAGUAGCCGGUCUGAGGAGAUGAACGACCAAAAUGGGACUGAGACACGGUCCAGAAUUCUAAGGGGAGCAGCAGUGGGGAAUCUUCGGAAAUGGGCGACAAGCUGACUGAACAAAGACGGGGGAGUGGAGAAGGGCUUCGGGUUGUAAAGGUCCGUUAUUCGGGAAGAAAAAGCUUGUGGUUAAUACCCAUGAGAAGUGACGGUACCGUAAGAGAAAGCAACGGCUAACUACGUG